This 253-nucleotide ribosomal RNA is filed under the name uncultured bacterium. RNAcentral describes it as "partial 16S ribosomal RNA". It matches the Rfam family "Bacterial small subunit ribosomal RNA", at positions 524 to 776 of the family's 1533-position model. The record is from RNAcentral.
UACGUAGGGUGCAAGCGUUGUCCGGAAUUAUUGGGCGUAAAGAGCUCGUAGGCGGCUUGUUGCGUCGGCUGUGAAAACCCGUGGCUUAACUGCGGGCUUGCAGCCGAUACGGGCGGGCUAGGGUUCGGUAGGGGAGACUGGAAUUCCUGGUGUAGCGGUGAAAUGCGCAGAUAUCAGGAGGAACACCGGUGGCGAAGGCGGGUCUCUGGGCAGUAACUGACGCUGAGGAGCGAAAGCGUGGGGAGCGAACAGG